AAUCUAAUAUAAGCUUUAAGAUUAAAAGUUUGGAUAUUUCACAAAUUUGAGGGAAAAUUCAUGUAUCUCUAGUAAAUAAUUUUGUUAAUUUUACAUGGGUAAGCUUACAAAAAUUCAAUUUUGGGGGUUCAAUUAAACACACUAACUUCCAUUGGAUACUCCACUUAUUUGUAUGGCGUAAAUUUUUUAUAUUUUUUGGCCUCUUAACUCUUUGUGACAGAGCAUAUGUCCUGAAAAAUGAGUAUGUUUAUUCAAACUUAGAGCUGAAUUUAUGUUGUUGGUUUUAUGGAUACAAAUUAUGCGGAUUCUUAGUGUGAUGAUGGUGGAGAUUGUCUUGAGCAUGUUUACUUGAUUCAUAGUACGUUUAGGUAGCGGACAAUAAGUAUUAGUAUUGCGUAGUUGUGUUCAUGAUGUAGCUCAUGGGAAUUUUGUCCAAUGGGGUUUUAGACAUUACUGAUAUGCUCCCUUUAGCAUAAAAGUUACUUCUAUGUACUUUACUAGGAAGUAAGGUUAGUCAAAAUACGCGUUGGAAGGGAGUAGCAAAUGCUUUAUCUGAGUUUUAUAGUACAAACUCUAACUUCUACAUAGUAAUAAUAUGUGUAAGGUAUGAUUUCUCAAUGACUUGGCUUCUUGGCCUUUGGUGAAGGAGUUCACUGAGUUUUUGAAGACUAGGAUAUUGUGAAUUGGUAUGAGAAUUAGACUUCUUAUAUAAAAAACAUUUUGACAUGAGAAGACUAGGAAAUGACUAAGUUAGGAGUAUCAACUGAAAAGAAACUAGAAAAGGUCCUACUAUUUUAAGAAAAUAAAGGUAGCACACAUACUAGUAAAAGUUUUAGACAUAUAAUUCAACAAAUGACACCUAAACACAUAGGCUACUAGUAAGUACUGUAGUAAUUAUACUGACCUAAUGGAAACAGGUAGUUGAUCAACCAGACACCACCCACCAUACACAAUGCUGGAUCAAAGGUUCUGAGAGUAGUCGAAGCUCAGAGGCUGCUGACAGAAAGGAGCCUGGAAAACAGAAUGCCUGAAUUGCUCAUAAGAGUGUGCAUACAUCAUAGCAAGACUAGGCCACCGCAUAUAUAGAACAUCUCUUGAAGCUUGAUUCAAUCCCAUUGCGCAAUAAGGACUCAUGCUUGGAUCUGAUGGGCCAUAGUUGAUGGAAGUUUGCGCUCUGGGGAUCUGACCCAUCUGAGGAAAAGCAGAAGCAUCAUACUACUCGAGGCUGAAACUUUGGGCAUGCUGAAAGGAGGCAAAAACAUUUGGCCAGUAGGAAAGCUUUUAACAUACCUUACAUAACUACGAUCAUAGUCCGGAUCAGAUCGGUCUUUUUCUCUAUCUUUGAAGAUAGCAACAACUCGAGAAGAAGUUCCUACAUAAUUGACAAUGAUAUUCUUCUCCGGAUCAUUAAUGAAAUUAUAGCAUCCACCAUUUUCCUCCUUGCUUGGACACAAAUACACAAUCCUCUUUUUUCUACUGAGAUCUGAGGCAUCGUCUCAUCUGCCAUAGGAGUUAGGACUGUUUGGGCUGCUAAAGAUGCAAGCGCUUGCCUUAUCAUACUCCUCCUUCCUCUCUUCUACACUCCUUACCGAGUUCCGUUUAAGACCCAUGUCAGUUCCAUCACCAGAAGAUGUCCUAUAAGGCCUACGUCUGAUAGCAAUUUUGACCAGCUCCUGUUUGCUAUUUUCUGACUGUCUAGCAGGUAUAUCUGAUAAGAAAACAGAUGGGUACUUGCUCUCCGCUGUUUUCAUAACCAUUAUUUGUAUGAAAUUUGUGGGUGGUAAUUGUAGGCAUACAGGAAAUAUAGGAAAAACCCAGUUACCGGAGCGCCGCUUAAGCUUGGGGAUCUUAUUCCUCUUGCAUUUCACAAGAAUUCUGAAGGGGAAUUCCAUUGCCCAGUUUUGAACAAGUUUCACUGAAUUCACUCACAUAGUUGCUGUCAAGACUACUGGAAAUGUAUUUUGUUACGAGGUGAAUAAUGAACCAACUGAAGGAGAUCAAGCGUAGACGUUUCACUAUACAUACUAUCGGCCAAAUUUAGCUAGCUAUACUGUAGUGAUGCAAUACUUGGUAGUUAAAAGGAAAAUGAUCUAUAUGUACUUAUUAGAAGUAUUUGUGGUACUAAAACAAAUAUUUAUUAGUGGGGUUUGAUUAAGUAUAUUAAUUUUUGUUAAUUAGGAUUUGUCAUUUAUACUCUUCAUUUAAUUAGUUUUGGAAAUUAUAAUACAGAUAUGACAAUUAUUUUUGGCA
Beta vulgaris subsp. vulgaris (sugar beet) is the source of this 2250-nucleotide long non-coding RNA. RefSeq lists it as uncharacterized. The record is from RefSeq and is a predicted model, not a curated record. The transcript is spliced from 3 exons. NCBI's taxonomy places the organism in Eukaryota, Viridiplantae, Streptophyta, Magnoliopsida, Caryophyllales, Amaranthaceae.